AUAGGUUAAUUUUUAUCUUAACUACCAAACUUAGGCUGGAUCGCCUUUUUAUAAGAAAUCUAUUUAAAUACAAGGGAUUAUUUGAACUUCUUUUUAAAAAGCCAAGGGCAUUUUUUGUGUGGUUCUCAGCUUAUAAAUAAAAUAUAUUAAUAGUUGUUUAAUGGGCAUUUAAAAUGCCAACUGCCUGUGACUGUUUUUAGUGCAUUCUUCAAACACCACUUGGAGACCUGAAACUGCCCCCUCGGUUCAGUCCACAAGGGGACUGCCACCUUGCCAUGGGCCAGGUAUACCCAGCCCAGCGAGGCCAAGCUCAUUGCUCUGAACAGAUGGUGAUUUUCAAACUGAAUGCUAUUCUGGUGUACUUAUUUAGGAACAAGAUCUAAAAAUAGACUUGAAUGAGCAUAACCUGCAAAAAUAAGUUGUCAGCUUCUUUUUACUCCUGGAGGGUUGAAAACAAAGCUGUCAGCAAUUUCUGCGAGCUGAGGAAUCUGUAUACUUUCUUAUUUUAGAGAGAGCUUUUUCAGUGGGACUGUAAUUGAGUCCCCUUAAAUCUUUGUGUCAACAAAUUACCAUCUGUUGUUCUAGAGACUCUCAAAUUGGUGAGACUCGCUGCUGCUUACUGCCGGGGUGGAGGGGGAUGCUAUCGUUUGCCCUUGUGGACAUGAGCUUUGGAGAGGGAAUGGGUGCCGCUGGUAUCCGACGUCAUUGCAGGAAUGAGUCCAGGCUCUGCCAGCCCCCAUUACCCAGACCCUGGGGUCUUGUAGAGGUAGUGAUUGAGAGAUGCCUGGGAGUAUGGGCUUGGAGACAGGGGUGGCACUGAGGUGGAGAGGAAACCCCAGCCAGUUUUGGCGGGGCCUCAGGGGAGUCUCAACACCUGUUGGUGGCUGGGGUCAUAGUAGCCCAGAGCGCUGGGUUUUGAGUAAAUCCAUGAAGCGCUCAGCCCUUCUUUAUAAGGUACUUGGUGUAGCCUUUGUGGCAGGAAACCACAGAGCACUUACUAAUUUACAUUCCCACCAAUAGUAUAUAAGUUCCCUUUUCUCUGCAUCCUUGCUAACAUCUGUUAUUUUUUGUCUUUUUAAUAAUAGCCAUUCUGUCUGGUGUAAGAUGAUAUUUCAUUGUGUUUUUAAUUUGCGUUUCUCUGAUGAUUAAUGAUUUUGAGCAUUCUUUCUUAUGUUUGUUGGCCAUUUGUAUGUCUUCUUUUGAAAAAUGUCUAUUCAUGUUCUUUGCCCACUUUUUAAUGGGAUUAUUUGAGGUUUUUUUGUUGAGUUGUUUGAGUUUCUUAUAAAUUCUGACUGUCAGUCCCUGUCAAAAUGCAUAGUUUGCAAAUAUUUUCUCCCAUUUCACUAGUUGUUUGUUCACUCAGCUGAUUAUUUCCUUUGCUGUGCAGAAGCUUUUUAGUUUAAUUAAAUCCCAUUUGUCUGUUUUUGUUUCUGUUGCCUGUGCUUUUGAGGUCUUGGUGAUGAAUUUUUUGCCUAGACCAAUGUUGAGAAGUUUUCCCUAGGUUUUCUUUUAGUACUUUUAUAGUUUCAGAUCUUACAUUUAAUUCAUCUUGAGUUGACUUUUUUUAUCUGGUGAGAGAAUACGAUCCACUUUCAUUCUUCUGCAAAUGACAAUCCAGUUUUUCUAGCACAAUUUACUAAAAAGAGUGUCCUUCCCCCAGUAUAUGUUCUUGUUGACUUUAUCAAAGAUCAGUUGGCUAUAAAUAUGUGAUUUUAUUCCUGUGUUAUCUACUCUGCUCCAUUGAUUUGUGUGUUUAUACCAGUUCCAUGCUGUUUUGGUUACUGUAGCCUGGUGGUAUAAUUUGAAAUCAGAUAAUAUGAUGGCUCCAGCUUUGUUCUUUUUGCUUGGGAUUGCUUUGGCUAUUUGGGCUCUUUUUCAGUUCCAUAUGAAUUUUAG
RNAcentral lists this long non-coding RNA (1896 nucleotides) under Homo sapiens (human). Its description in RNAcentral is "HSALNT0353642". The record is from RNAcentral. Lineage: Eukaryota; Metazoa; Chordata; Mammalia; Primates; Hominidae.